CGCGGGGUGGAGCAGUCUGGUAGCUCGUUGGGCUCAUAACCCAAAGGUCGUAGGUUCAAAUCCUUCCCCCGCAA
This 74-nucleotide transfer RNA is filed under the name Candidatus Izimoplasma sp. HR2. RNAcentral describes it as "Candidatus Izimaplasma sp. HR2 tRNA". It matches the Rfam family "tRNA". From Rfam's summary of the family: Transfer RNA (tRNA) molecules are approximately 80 nucleotides in length. Their secondary structure includes four short double-helical elements and three loops (D, anti-codon, and T loops). Lineage: Bacteria; Bacillati; Mycoplasmatota; Mollicutes; Candidatus Izemoplasmatales; Candidatus Izemoplasmataceae. The record is from Rfam by way of RNAcentral.